This 784-nucleotide long non-coding RNA is filed under the name Homo sapiens (human). RNAcentral describes it as "novel transcript". Lineage: Eukaryota; Metazoa; Chordata; Mammalia; Primates; Hominidae. The record is from RNAcentral.
UAGUUCAGCACUUUCCACUGCUGGUUGACAGCCUGCCACCGUUUAAAGAUGCGGUACACCGAGGGUCCUUCAUGGAUGAUGAGACCUGAGGCAGCAGGGAGAGGAGAAACAGAGGCCAAAUGAGAGGAAGUGGGUCACGGCCAGGAGACCACAGUCUCUCUGAAUCUAUGCAAGGGUCUCUCUCUGUUGCCCAGGCUGGAGUGCAGUGGUGCGAUCAUGGCUCACUACAGCCUCGACCUCCUGGUUCAAGUGAUUCUCCCGCCUCAGCCUCCCAAGUAGCUGGGACUUCAGGCACACACCACCAUGCCUGGCUAAUUUCUGCAUUUUUUAUAGAUACAGGGUUUUGCCAUGUUGCAGACUGAUCUCAACUCCUGAACUCAAGCGAUCCUCUUGCCUCAGCCUCCCAAACCGCUGGGAUUACAGGCAUGAACCACUGAGCCCAGCUGCCUUUCACACUUCUACUGUGCAUUAGAAUCACCCAAAGAGCUUGUUAAGACAGAUUCCCAGGCUGCAAUCUUGGAGGCCUACUGGCUUAGUAGCUCUGGGCUGAGGCCUGAGAAUAUGCAUUCCUAAGAAACCUCAGGUGAGGCUGAUGCUGCCUGUGUGUGGACUGCUAGGCUAGGACAUGGUUUUUAUUCCUCAUAGAAGGUUCUAAAUUUUGAUCACAAAACUUAUUAUAAGUAAUUUUAAAAAGUAAUCUACUUCCAGAUGUCAUAGACAUGGAAAUGGGAAGAAACGGAAGAAAUAAAUACUUCCUCUCCUAGACCCAAAGACCUUUGUGCCC